UUCCUGGGCAUUGAUAUCAUUGGACCAAGUGCUUCACUCAUACCAUAUGCAUGGUUAAUAAUAAAGCCUAAUUCUUCCAGUUUGGUCAGAAUUUCUAGUGGUGGCAAUACCCCUGCUACUGUUACAUUCACCUGGUGAGGUAACAGAGGUUGAUUUGUGUCUAUGGCAUCUGUAAUUUUGCUAAGAAUCAUUGGUGCUUGGUGAGGUAACAGGGGCUGAUUUAUGGCUAUGGCAUCUGAAAUUUUUGUAAGAAUCAUUGGUGCACCACAAAAAUGUGUCACAUUGUGAAGGUAAAUAGCAUCCAAAAUUUCUUUUCCAUUGAUUUCUUCUAUGCAAAUAUU
This 341-nucleotide long non-coding RNA is filed under the name Nicotiana benthamiana. RNAcentral's name for it is "long non-coding RNA (NBEN_LNC017635)". The record is from RNAcentral. Lineage: Eukaryota; Viridiplantae; Streptophyta; Magnoliopsida; Solanales; Solanaceae.